This 292-nucleotide ribosomal RNA is filed under the name uncultured bacterium. RNAcentral describes it as "partial 16S ribosomal RNA". It matches the Rfam family "Bacterial small subunit ribosomal RNA", at positions 505 to 796 of the family's 1533-position model. The record is from RNAcentral.
GUGCCAGCAGCCGCGGUAAUACGUAGGGUGCGAGCGUUAAUCGGAAUUACUGGGCGUAAAGCGUGCGCAGGCGGUUUUAUAAGCCAGAUGUGAAAGCCCCGGGCUCAACCUGGGAAUGGCAUUUGGGACUGUAAGGCUGGAGUAUGGCAGAGGAGACUAGAAUUCCUGGUGUAGCAGUGAAAUGCGUAGAUAUCAGGAGGAAUACCGAUGGCGAAGGCAGGUCUCUGGGCCAAUACUGACGCUCAUGCACGAAAGCGUGGGGAGCAAACAGGAUUAGAUACCCCCGUAGUCC